This 213-nucleotide ribosomal RNA is filed under the name Triticum aestivum (bread wheat). Its description in RNAcentral is "partial small subunit ribosomal RNA". The record is from RNAcentral. Lineage: Eukaryota; Viridiplantae; Streptophyta; Magnoliopsida; Poales; Poaceae.
AUGGCUCGUGAUAUUCUUGCUAUCCCCAUUACAACUGUGGCUUCCAAGUCUGCCUUUAGCACAAGUGGACGCAUACUUGAUGACUUUAGGACAUCUCUAACUCCAUUUAUGGUGCAAGCUUUAGUUUGUACGCAAGACUGGCUGAGAAGGUCAACAGAUCCGGUCGACAUCAAGGAGAACUUGGAAGAGUUAGAAGUGCUAGAAAAGAGUUGA